GAUGAACGCUGGCGGCGUGCCUAAUACAUGCAAGUCGAGCGAACGGACGAGAAGCUUGCUUCUCUGAUGUUAGCGGCGGACGGGUGAGUAACACGUGGAUAACCUACCUAUAAGACUGGGAUAACUUCGGGAAACCGGAGCUAAUACCGGAUAAUAUAUUGAACCGCAUGGUUCAAUAGUGAAAGACGGUUUUGCUGUCACUUAUAGAUGGAUCCGCGCUGCAUUAGCUAGUUGGUAAGGUAACGGCUUACCAAGGCAACGAUGCAUAGCCGACCUGAGAGGGUGAUCGGCCACACUGGAACUGAGACACGGUCCAGACUCCUACGGGAGGCAGCAGUAGGGAAUCUUCCGCAAUGGGCGAAAGCCUGACGGAGCAACGCCGCGUGAGUGAUGAAGGUCUUCGGAUCGUAAAACUCUGUUAUUAGGGAAGAACAAAUGUGUAAGUAACUAUGCACGUCUUGACGGUACCUAAUCAGAAAGCCACGGCUAACUACGUG
Molecule: ribosomal RNA, 497 nt
Filed under: uncultured bacterium
Lineage: Bacteria
Description: partial 16S ribosomal RNA
Rfam family: Bacterial small subunit ribosomal RNA
Source: RNAcentral